Molecule: long non-coding RNA, 328 nt
Filed under: Elaeis guineensis (African oil palm)
Lineage: Eukaryota; Viridiplantae; Streptophyta; Magnoliopsida; Arecales; Arecaceae
Description: long non-coding RNA (EGUI_LNC035313)
Source: RNAcentral
CAUGGAUGAAGUGGAACUAAUUGGUUUUGGACUAUCUCCAAGACCUAUAAUGCAUCCUCUAGAGUGGCCUGGCCUGAGAAUAUGGAUCUAUCAUUUUAUACUAGGAAAAAAGAAAAGUAAUAGAUAUCAAUUUUACUGCUUGAGUAAUUUGAUGUAAAGUUCUAUGAAAGUUAUGAGCUAUAGACAUUGAAAGUUCAGGAAGUUUGCUCUCUCCUUAUAGAAUAAUUUAAGCAUUUCAAAUCUAAACCUGAUCCUUAUUUCCAAAAUGGAGCUCUUAAACCAACUUAAUUUAAAAUUUCUCUUUACUUGACCUAACCUAGCAUUAUGU